UAGUCCCAGGAUGGCUGGGUCACUGGCCACCUGCGGUUGUCUUCUUUCUCUUCUCAUUACCACCUUCCAUUUUCCCUCAAGUGGGAGAAAAAGUGAGUACAGAACGCAGACCACCUGCUGAGGUGGGUGCUGCAGAGAGCCACUGAUUAAAGGUGGAGAUGGAACUCCUUUUCUCAAUUUCAUCUUCUUGAACCUAAUACCAGCUGUGUUUCAAGCUGAGCUACUACACGCCUGCUGGGAGGCCAUUUGCUGCAUGACACUAUGAAAAUGAUGGCGUUUGCUCCUUCAAGUAAGAGAUAAUCAGCUUAUUCAGAGCCUAAAGGAAGAGAAAGUUUUUUCAAUUAGGUCUGCUGGAGUUUGCUGGAGGUCCGCUCCAGACCCUGUUUGCCUGGGUAUUACCAGCAGAGGCUGCAGAACAGCAAAGAUUGCUGCCUGGUCCUUACUAUGGAAGCUUUGUCCCAGAGGGGCACCUGCCAGAUGCCAGCUGGAGCUCUCCUGUAUGAGAUAUGAAAAAUGAGCAUUUAAAAUGAAGAAAGUAAUUAGAAGAGGUUUCAUGUGAUCCAGGAGCAAAAAUAUAUCAAAAAGAAGGAAAGAUGGAUGCAUCCAACAUUAAAUACAGAGGGAUAUAAGAGAAAAUGUAGCUUAGUGCAAAUGGAAAAGAAAACCAAAACUGGAAUCCUUUUUGCAAUAAAUGUUAUUGCUUACAUGUUAAUUGUCAGUUGUAUGGUUCUGUGCAGCAGAGGUUCUCUAAGAUACAUAAGGCUUAGGAUUAGGUAAAAGUAGCUUUUUUAUAUGGACACAAUAAAAAAUAUACAUUGAGCAGAGUUUAACUGCAUUUCCUAGAUUCUGAAUAAAUAAUUCAAUAAUUGAUCUACUAAUAUCAAUAGAUUUUGCAUUAUAUGUUAUUGCUUUUCUCACUGAAUUGGGUAAAAUUUUUUUUUAUUUUUGCUUAUUUCCUUUCUACAAUAGAAAAUAUCAGUUAUAUGUAGUUAACACGUGGCCCAUGGUAGUUUCAGUUUAUUUGCAUUUAGCUAAACCCUUCAGAAUGACCUUUAUACCAGACUCUUUCAUCUGCAAUACAAGCAUAUUAUUCUGCAGGGCAAAUGUUUCUAAGGAAAUUUUAUGGAAAUGGAAAAUCUCCAAACAUACCAUCUUAUAUCCAAAGGAGAAAUUGACAUGUCCAUAAAUAACGAAUGUGAUUUUUUUCAAGUCCAGUGAAACCAGCAUUGGUUGUCUCUGUUCAGGAUGGAGGCCAGUAAUAAAAAGAGAUGCCCUAACUCUGCUAUGCAUGCCCAAGAGAGAAAUGUGCUCACAUUAUCUCUUAGCUAUAAAGAAUGAAAAGGAGAAAGUGUUUGUGGGAAUAAAUGGAAAAUCAUUAGUUGGCUUCUGUUAAGAGGGCAAGGGAGAGAGCUAAUGCAUUAAGGCCAAACUAGCUUCUCAGAAUAUGGUUAUCAAACUUAUCACCCUCCUCCCUCAACCGUCUCACUCUCUUCAUUUUCUAUUUCCAAGUGACAUGAAGCCUUGGCUUCUAAGAUAGUGCAGUAAUGAAUACCUAAAUUCUGUAUGUAAAAGAGCUCAACCAUAAAAUCAGCUACCCAUACACCUGUAAAGCAGGAAGAGAAAAGAACCUUUUCCUUAGAAUGGACUCUAUACAAAUGCAAAGACAGUAAUGGAAUAAUAGGAAAUAAAAAGACAGAGAGGCACAAAAAUGCAUAUUUUGCAAAACUAUAUAUACCAAAUAAACUAAAAAAUGCAGUGUUUACUUUCUUAAAAGAAACAGAAAACAAGUGAUAUAAGUAAAGAAACAAGUGGAAAAACAUUCCCGUCUUUGAGUAUAUUACAGUCUUUCUUGCUACCAAAGACUUUUUAAAAUAUGAUUUUUUUCAUAAUUAUAGACAUAAUUAGGGACUUUGCUUCCUAAUGUUUUCCACGAUACUUAAAAUGAAGAUAGUCUGAUGAUCUAAAUUAAUCCUUAGAAUGAAGGCUUGUUAUUCCUGCUAGGAAAGAUUUGUCUCCCUAGACUAUCUUAGAAGCUAAAACCAUGAACCAGGCUGUAUUGUAGUGUCUGCAAUGCAGCACUGAACAAGACAGAAAAUGUCCCUGUUCCUGGGGAUUUUACAUCCUAAAGUUUGCAUUUGUUCCUGUUCUUGCAUUUCUCCCCGCCGUUUAUUUUACCUUCAUGAUUUUGUGUAUCUCUUUCUCCCUUUCUCUGUUUUCCCUAUGUUCCCUUUUUCCCACUUAUUAUUUUCUGAAUUGGACAUAAAUUAGAACAAAAUAUUUUUGAUUAUGCAUUAUAUUUGUUGAAAAAUUGUUUAG
This is a long non-coding RNA of Homo sapiens (human), 2316 nucleotides long. NCBI's taxonomy places the organism in Eukaryota, Metazoa, Chordata, Mammalia, Primates, Hominidae. The record is from Ensembl.